Molecule: long non-coding RNA, 1408 nt
Organism: Rhododendron vialii
Lineage: Eukaryota; Viridiplantae; Streptophyta; Magnoliopsida; Ericales; Ericaceae
Exons: 3
Source: RefSeq, a predicted model, not a curated record
GUAAAUUUUUAAAAUAUGGAGUGUGAAUUGUUAAUUUGGAAACUUCUUCUUUGAUCUAUUUAUAGAUAGGUUGAAUUUUUUAUUUUUUAUUUUGGUCAAAGAAACUUUUAGAAUGAAGUUUUGAUUCGUUAACAAAACAAAUUUCGUGAAAAAUGUUUUGAAAAACUGACUGCGAGGAAGCUGAUUUCCAAGUUUGAUUAUUUUCUGUACUUGUAGAGGAAUACUUGGAAGCCACUAGUUAAAAACAAAAUGUACUGGUUAAGUUGACUUAUGUUAACAGAACAUUCUAACGCCUAAUUUUUCAUUCUAGUUGGCCUCAGUAAUGGUCAGAUUUUGAUGCAUCUAUUAAUCAGCUUUUGGCUUUCCAUUUGUGUUGAGACAAGAUGUGUGAAAUCUCAUGAAAGCUCGCCAUCGCUAUAAGAUAGGCUUUUGAGAAUUUGAUCGGUUGUGCUUGAUAGCUGUGCUUGACAUUGACAUGAGACUCACCUGUUAUUUGACUAUUUAUUUACCUGAGGUUGUCAAAUGAUGGCUCAUGGCCGUGUCUUUGAGCUCUCUCUCUUUUACCUAUAUGUUGUUCCAUAUUAGAAGAACACUUGCAAUUCUCUGCUGAAGGUGCAAUAAUUCUAAGCUUGAAGUUGAAUAAUGAUAGUCUUUCGCUAUUCCAUCUUGUUUGAUUCGAGAUAUUUGAAAAACUAUGUUAAACAAAUGUUUUUGACGUACGACUUGAUUUUGGCUAAAGCAGCAUGAGUUUUUGACUAAAGCGGCUAUCAUAACUACAUUCUUGGAGACAAUAGAGGAAACAAAUCUUGGUAUUUGAUGGAGAGGAAGAAAGGGAGGAAAGCCUCAAUGCUUGCAUGCAGCUCGCUAUGGAAGAUGAGAAUUGGUGUACGAUGAAUUGCUUCCCUGAGUUCCAAUGGAGUUGAAGGUGUCAAAUAGCUAAAGUUUGAUUCUUGCCCUCGCCAUCUGAUAUUUCCAUGAUUCGUCAAGAAGAUGUAGAUUUUUGAAUCAGAGAAACAUUCAAAGAUGUGUUGAGGAAACCAUAUUGAAGUAAAUAGUAAAUCCCCUGAAGAUAAUCAACUAGCAUCAACAUCAUCUUCUUCAAGCACCGUAGGCCCAAUGCGGGUAAAGGAUGAAUCUAUAAAGCAUUUCCUCAUCCGGGCUGUGAUGGACAAAGCUGGAGGUUGUGCCAGGCAAGCUAGCCAUGGUUCUGCUCAAAGUGCAUUUUUGUUUGUGUGCAUAUUGUUGCUCUUGAUGCUAUUGUAGGGGAUUCAUAUGGGGUUGCAUCAUGGCAGUUGGAACUACGAAUUACAAAAUUUGAAGAGAAGCUUAGCAGUCUAAGGGCCUAAUGAUUGUAUUGUAUCACUAUGUUAUCACGUCUGUAUGAAAGCCCUCCAUUUAUUUGACAAAA